RNAcentral lists this ribosomal RNA (484 nucleotides) under uncultured bacterium. Its description in RNAcentral is "partial 16S ribosomal RNA". It matches the Rfam family "Bacterial small subunit ribosomal RNA", at positions 30 to 507 of the family's 1533-position model. The record is from RNAcentral.
AUUGAACGCUGGCGGCAGGCCUAACACAUGCAAGUCGAGCGGAUGAAGGGAGCUUGCUCCUGGAUUCAGCGGCGGACGGGUGAGUAAUGCCUAGGAAUCUGCCUGGUAGUGGGGGAUAACGUCCGGAAACGGGCGCUAAUACCGCAUGCUUCCUGAUGGAGAAGCUGGGGGAUCUUCGGACCUCACGCUCUCAGAUGAGCCUAGGUCGGAUUAGAUAGUUGGUGGGUUAAAGGCCUACCUAGGCGACGAUCCGUAACUGGUCUGAGAGGAUGAUCAGUCACACUGGAACUGAGACACGGUCCAGAGUCCUACGGGAGGCAGCAGUGGGGAAUAUUGGACAAUGGGCGAAAGCAUGAUCCAGUGAUGCGGAGUGUGUGAAGAAGGUCUUCGGAUUGUAAAGACCUUUAAGUUGGGAGGAAGGGCAGUAAGUUAAUACCUUGCUGUUGUGACGUUACCAACAGAAUAAGCACCGGCUAACUUCGUG